This is a long non-coding RNA of Cebus imitator (Panamanian white-faced capuchin), 2209 nucleotides long. RefSeq lists it as uncharacterized. The transcript is spliced from 3 exons. NCBI's taxonomy places the organism in Eukaryota, Metazoa, Chordata, Mammalia, Primates, Cebidae. The record is from RefSeq and is a predicted model, not a curated record.
GGUUGCAGUGAGCCAAGAUUGUGCCACUGACCUCCAGCCUGGGCAACAAAGUGAGACUCAGCCUAAAAAAAAAAAGGAACGAACUUUGUAAUUGUCCGUAGCUCUAGACCUUAUUUUAGGGUGCUAGCUGUAACUGUAAUCAGGAGGGUGCCAUGUAUAAAUAUAACAGAUACUGAGACAAAAGAAAACUAUUCCUGACAACAGUUUGCCCUCUUUCCCAAGAGAUUUAAGGAAUAACCAUAAAAUCUACCUCCUCCUUUCUCAAAUGGGGACUUCUUUGAUGUAAUGUAUCAGGGAGAAGAACAAGUUACCCUGGGUAUCAACCAGCACACACCAUUUCUGUCCUGAAAUGACAGCAAGAACAUUGAGUAGUAGUACUGUCUUACCGAGAGUCAAACAAAUGACUUGAAGGAAGAGACCAAGAAAAAUAUGUUUAGAAAAUCAUCUAGAAAUAGGAUUUUAUUUUAGUAAGCAAAGUGAACAAAAAAUACAAUUUUAUUUUGGCAAGUUACAAUUGCUUCCAUGAUUAAAUUUGUUUUCUAUUGAUUCUCCUGGGUCAUGUGUUGGAAAAAGUACUAUACUUAGAAUUAGGUAAUCUAAAUACUUCCUAGUUUUGCCAUUUGUUCUGUGACUUGGGCAAGUUAUUUAACCCACGUCUCACAUUCUUCAUCUGCAAAAAUGGAGUUAACCUACCUUGCCACCUCACAGGAAUGUCCCACAAUAAGUUUGCUAACAGCUAAGUAUCAUAUAAAUUAAAAUUAUCACUGUUAGUAUUACCACCUUCCUUCCCUCUCUCAUGUAAAAACUUGAACCAAUAAUAAAACAGGCAAAAGACACCAGACACAGUGGCUCAUGCCUGCAAUCUUAGCACUUUGGGAGGCUGAGCUGGGCAGAUCAUUUGAGGUCAGGAGUUCAAAACCAGCCUGACCAACAUGGUGAAAUCCUACCCAAUACAAAAAUUUGCUUGGUCUGGUGGCACAUGUCUGUAAUCCCAGCUACUCGGGAGGCUGGGGCAGGAGAAUUGCUUGAACCCAGGAGGUGGAGGUUGCAGUGAGCCACGAUCAUACCACUGCACUCCAACCUGGGUGACAGAGAGGAACUCCAUCUCAAAACGAAACAAAAAAAGCAACUUUGUCUUUCAGAAUUAUGGCCUAAAUCCAUCUGAAACAAACACUCAAGAAAUCUUUGGGAGAGCUAACAUCUACAAACAUAAACUUGGGAAAUACUUUAUAAAAUAGUCUUUAAAAAUCACCUUCAUCCACACAUAAGACAGUUUUAAAAGCUUUUUUUAACUAAAACACUAGAUUAACAAUCUUGGCAUUUUUAAACAUAUAUAAUUAUUCCCAUAUAUUAACUGUUUCAACAAAAAUAACUAUUUUUAUAUAAUCAUAUUAACUCUAGAAUAAAAAUACUGUUAUAGUGAGGUUUUUUUUCAAACAUUUAAGAGUCAAAUGUUUAACAAAAAAUAAAACAUUAUGAAGGAAGGAAGUACAUAUUUUAAUAAAAGGCUAAUAAACUGAAUCAGGUCAAUGAGAAGUAAAAUUUGUUGGUUUAUAAAACUAAGGCCUUCAAGUGACAGGGAGUCAUAGGAGAAAAAAAAAAAUCAAAACUAAGGCUUUAUUCAUUUAUAGGUGGCAAAAGAAAAAAUUUCUUAUUUCCCUAUUCCCUAAUGAUCUAAUGCAAACUAAAGCAGAGAGAAUUCAUUAGUUCACUCUUCCUUAGACACCAACAGCACCUAUUAAUUUGCUAAUGAAAUCAGACACAUGACUUCUCCAUGAUCAAUACUGUGACUUUACAUCAGUAGAGACACUACUUGAGCUGCACUGUCAUUGUCAUUGGGCUCCAGGAAGAGAAUUUCCUAAUGAAUCACUAAGAAGCUUCUUCAAGAGAUACAGGAGAGGCCAGUAUCAUAUUUUAAAAUAAAAAAAAAAGUAGAGAUAAUGCUUGGUCCAUUGAAAAAUAUUUACUAAACAUCUCUAAAAAGGAUUACAUAAUUAUCUCAACUACAAUAAUUAGAUGUGAAUUUCAAUUAUUUAGUAAUAUUUUCAAGGUUUACACUUUAAGUAUAGGCAUAUGCAAAAAUGAAAGCAUCAAUGAAAGUUUUAUUUAUAUAAAAAGAUUUCUGUUGGAAUGUUAAAAAUCUAAUAUUUUUAUUUUGAAAGCAAGUUGAUUUUUUUUUUUUUGAGACAGAGUCUCACCCUGUUGCCCA